RNAcentral lists this ribosomal RNA (253 nucleotides) under uncultured bacterium. RNAcentral's name for it is "partial 16S ribosomal RNA". It matches the Rfam family "Bacterial small subunit ribosomal RNA", at positions 524 to 776 of the family's 1533-position model. The record is from RNAcentral.
UACGUAGGGGGCAAGCGUUGUCCGGAUUUAUUGGGCGUAAGGAGCGUGUAGGCGGCCAUGCAGGUCCGUUGUGAAAACUCGAGGCUCAACCUCGAGACGCCGGUGGAAACCGCAUGGCUAGAGUCCGGAAGAGGAGAGUGGAAUUCCUGGUGUAGCGGUGAAAUGCGCAGAUAUCAGGAAGAACACCCGUGGCGAAGGCGGCUCUCUGGGACGUGACUGACGCUGAGACGCGAAAGCGUGGGGAGCAAACAGG